CUCCUAAAAUUCCUCCCUAAAAUGGCAUCAUCAAAUAUUUAUUCUUCAUCCGUUACACCACAAAAUAUAUCCUUCAAUGCUAUUAACAUCCGCAGUCAACUGCAUGGAAGCACUACAAAAGGUAGAGACUUGAGAGGAUCUUAUUAUGUUUCUUAAAGCUUAAUUUGUCAAGAUUUUAGUCACGGUGAUAGGAAAAUAAGUUUUUUGUUCUGCUAGAUCAACGUCCUGUUGUGAUAAGCCCAAAGAAAGAAAAGGACAAUUGUUACUUGGAUAAAAGUGGAGCAAUAUAAUAUGCAAGAAGAAAUUCCCAUUUCCCGCUUCGUUUUGGACAAUUCUAUGGUUACAGAGGCCAAAGAAUAGAAAACCUAUUAUUAAAGAUUCUUCCAGAAAAUUCGAAAGAUUGCUUUGUUCACAUAGAGAUACCCUUAAGGCUGCUGCCAUAAGUUCGGUAGAAAAUUUAUCAUGACCAUUUUAGAGAUCAAUGAUGUGGACCUCCUAUACAUAAAUUGAAGUGCAAAGACACACUCUCUCUCCAUUAUUUGAGGUUACUCGAUUAUGCAGAAUUCCACUCUACUUUGAGGUACAAGGACUCAACUGAGACGAAUUUAUGUUUGCAUGCUUCAAAAAUCCAUGAGUUUUUACAGAAUUAUUGUGGGUUUCUUCUUGGACCUUUGAUUGUUGGUUAGCAAUAUUAUGUUAAGACAAUGUGCUUUAGUUGUAAAUUAUCCAAUAUGUAAGAUAUCAUGGAACUGUGCUUUGUACAUUAACAUACCCUUAAUACUUUUGGUUGGUAUGGAUAGAA
Papaver somniferum (opium poppy) is the source of this 802-nucleotide long non-coding RNA. RefSeq lists it as uncharacterized. Lineage: Eukaryota; Viridiplantae; Streptophyta; Magnoliopsida; Ranunculales; Papaveraceae. The transcript is spliced from 3 exons. The record is from RefSeq and is a predicted model, not a curated record.